CCUACGUGGGACAGCAGUGAGGAAUAUUGGUCAAUGGGCGCGAGCCUGAACCAGCCAAGUAGCGUGAAGGAUGACUGCCCUACGGGUUGUAAACUUCUUUUAUAAAGGAAUAAAGUGAGGCACGUGUGCCUUUUUGUAUGUACUUUAUGAAUAAGGAUCGGCUAACUCCGUGCCAGCAGCCGCGGUAAUACGGAGGAUCCGGGCGUUAUCCGGAUUUAUUGGGUUUAAAGGGAGCGUAGAUGGGUUGUUAAGUCAGUUGUGAAAGUUUGCGGCUCAACCGUAAAAUUGCAAUUGAUACUGGCAGUCUUGAGUACAGUUGAGGUAGGCGGAAUUCGUGGUGUAGCGGUGAAAUGCUUAGAUAUCACGAAGAACUCCGAUUGCGAAGGCAGCUUACUAAACUGCCACUGACAUUGAUGCUCGAAAGUGUGGGUAUCAAACAGGAUUAGAUACCCGUGUAGUC
Molecule: ribosomal RNA, 460 nt
Filed under: uncultured bacterium
Lineage: Bacteria
Description: partial 16S ribosomal RNA
Rfam family: Bacterial small subunit ribosomal RNA
Source: RNAcentral